AUAUAUGUACAUAUAUAUAUAUAUAUAUAUAUAUAUAUAUAUAUAUGUUUUUUUCCAACUAGUUAAAAUGCCGCUCAUUCUUCACGGGAUAUGAAACAUUGACAC
Molecule: long non-coding RNA, 105 nt
Organism: Diprion similis
Lineage: Eukaryota; Metazoa; Arthropoda; Insecta; Hymenoptera; Diprionidae
Exons: 2
Source: RefSeq, a predicted model, not a curated record